RNAcentral lists this small nuclear RNA (187 nucleotides) under Oncorhynchus tshawytscha (Chinook salmon). RNAcentral's name for it is "U2 spliceosomal RNA". It matches the Rfam family "U2 spliceosomal RNA". Rfam says of the family: U2 is a small nuclear RNA (snRNA) component of the spliceosome (involved in pre-mRNA splicing). Complementary binding between U2 snRNA (in an area lying towards the 5' end but 3' to hairpin I) and the branchpoint sequence (BPS) of the intron results the bulging out of an unpaired adenosine, on the BPS, which initiates a nucleophilic attack at the intronic 5' splice site, thus starting the first of two transesterification reactions that mediate splicing. Lineage: Eukaryota; Metazoa; Chordata; Actinopteri; Salmoniformes; Salmonidae. The record is from Rfam by way of RNAcentral.
AUCGCUUCUCUCGCCUAUUUGGCUCAUAUCAAGUGUAGUAUCUGUUCUUAUCAGUUUAAUAUCGAUACGUCCCCCAUCGGGGGAUACUAUAAAUGGAUUUUUCGAACAGGGAGUCGGAAAUGGGGCUUGCUCCGUCCGCUCAACGCAUCGACCCGGUAUGCGUACCUCCGGGAACGGUGCACACAUU